RNAcentral lists this ribosomal RNA (468 nucleotides) under uncultured bacterium. RNAcentral's name for it is "partial 16S ribosomal RNA". It matches the Rfam family "Bacterial small subunit ribosomal RNA", at positions 28 to 507 of the family's 1533-position model. The record is from RNAcentral.
GACGAACGCUGGCGGCGUGCUUAACACAUGCAAGUCGAACGGAAAGGCCCUGCUUUUGUGGGGUGCUCGAGUGGCGAACGGGUGAGUAACACGUGAGUAACCUACCCUUGACUUUGGGAUAACUUCAGGAAACUGGGGCUAAUACCGGAUAGGAGCUCCUGCUGCAUGGUGGGGGUUGGAAAGUUUCGGCGGUUGGGGAUGGACUCGCGGCUUAUCAGCUUGUUGGUGGGGUAGUGGCUUACCAAGGCUUUGACGGGUAGCCGGCCUGAGAGGGUGACCGGCCACAUUGGGACUGAGAUAGGGCGCAGACUCCUACGGGAGGCAGCAGUGGGGAAUAUUGCACAAUGGGCGGAAGCCUGAUGCAGCAACGCCGCGUGCGGGAUGACGGCCUUCGGGUUGUAACCCGCUUUCGCCUGUGACGAAGCGUGAGUGACGGUAAUGGGUAAAGAAGCACCGGCUAACUACGUG